Molecule: ribosomal RNA, 216 nt
Filed under: Glomeromycotina sp.
Lineage: Eukaryota; Fungi; Glomeromycota
Description: partial small subunit ribosomal RNA
Rfam family: Eukaryotic small subunit ribosomal RNA (bases 44-216)
Source: RNAcentral
GGGUCAGUAGGUUGGUCGUGCCACCGGUACGUACUGGUCCCACUGAUUCCUCCUUCCUGAAGAACCGUAAUGCCAUUAAUUUGGUGUUGCGGGGAAACAGGACCGUUACUUUGAAAAAAUUAGAGUGUUUAGAGCAAGCUAACGCUUGAAUACAUUAGCAUGGAAUAAUGAAAUAGGACGAUCGAUCCUAUUUUGUUGGUUUCUAGGAUUGACGUA